Molecule: ribosomal RNA, 469 nt
Filed under: uncultured Glomus
Lineage: Eukaryota; Fungi; Glomeromycota; Glomeromycetes; Glomerales; Glomeraceae
Description: SSU rRNA
Rfam family: Eukaryotic small subunit ribosomal RNA
Source: RNAcentral
AGCUCGUAGUUGAAUUUCGGGAUUGGCGCAUCGGUCGUGCCUCACGGGGUAUGAACUGGUGCAGUCAAUUUCUCACCUUCUGGAGAACCGCGAUGUCCUUAAUUGGAUGCCGUGGGGAACCAGGACCUUUACUUUGAAAAAAUUAGAGUGUUUAAAGCAGGCAUUUUUGCUUGAAUACAUUAGCAUGGAAUAAUAAAAUAGGACGGCAUGGUUCUAUUUUGUUGGUUUCUAGGACCACCGUAAUGAUUAAUAGGGAUAGUUGGGGGCAUUAGUAUUCAAUUGUCAGAGGUGAAAUUCUUGGAUUUAUUGAAGACUAACUACUGCGAAAGCAUUUGCCAAGGAUGUUUUCAUUAAUCAAGAACGAAAGUUAGGGGAUCGAAGACGAUCAGAUACCGUCGUAGUCUUAACCAUAAACUAUGCCGACUAGGAAUCAGACGAUGUUAAUUUUUUAAUGACUCGUUCGGCACCU